RNAcentral lists this ribosomal RNA (465 nucleotides) under uncultured bacterium. RNAcentral describes it as "partial 16S ribosomal RNA". It matches the Rfam family "Bacterial small subunit ribosomal RNA", at positions 339 to 795 of the family's 1533-position model. The record is from RNAcentral.
CUACGGGGGGCUCCAGUGGGGAAUAUUGGACAAUGGGGGAAACCCUGAUCCAGCAAUGCCGCGUGUGUGAAGAAGGCCUGCGGGUUGUAAAGCACUUUCGGUUGGGAGGACUGCUUCUAGCACUAAUAUUGUUGGAAGUUGACGUUACCUUCAGAAGAAGCACCGGCUAACUCCGUGCCAGCAGCCGCGGUAAUACGGAGGGUGCAAGCGUUAAUCGGAAUUACUGGGCGUAAAGCGCGCGUAGGCGGCUAGAUCAGUCGGGUGUGAAAGCCCCGGGCUUAACCUGGGAACUGCAUCCGAUACUGUCUAGCUUGAGUACAGGAGAGGAGAGUGGAAUUCCACAUGUAGCGGUGACAUGCGUAGAUAUGUGGAGGAACACCAAUGGCGAAGGCAGCUCUCUGGCCUGAUACUGACGCUGAGGUGCGAAAGCGUAGGGAGCAAACAGGAUUAGAUACCCCAGUAGUC